AUGAUGUUGUUUUCAGCUUUUAGAUCAGACAACAGGUUGAAGAGCCUUAUUACUGGCAAGGUGUUUCAGUAUGUGUUUGAAAAUACCAUUGUGGUCCAUUCUACAUAUACUGGUAAUGCAGCCAUGGUGAUGCUCUUCUCUUCUGCCUAUAGUUUGAGAAAAGGUGAAUCUGAGCCUUCAUCUGAAACCCUGCAAUCAGGGUUUUCACACUCAUUAGUCGUUAGUUUAAGUAUGAGGCUCGAUACUCAGAGAUAA
Non-coding RNA from Vicia faba (fava bean), 255 nucleotides. The record is from the annotation of a GenBank genome assembly. Lineage: Eukaryota; Viridiplantae; Streptophyta; Magnoliopsida; Fabales; Fabaceae.